AAGACGGGGCAUUGCAGGAGACAAGUGUUUGCUAUUUACAACAGCCUUAGCAUAUGGGCAUCAGCAAAGUCACCUGCCGGCAGUACUGAGGUACAGAAAUCAGUGGCUGGAUCUUCAGAASAGCUCACCAAGUUUUGAAAAUUGGACCAUGUAU
This 154-nucleotide long non-coding RNA is filed under the name Apteryx rowi (Okarito brown kiwi). RNAcentral's name for it is "lncRNA (ENSARWG00000003765.1)". The record is from RNAcentral. Lineage: Eukaryota; Metazoa; Chordata; Aves; Apterygiformes; Apterygidae.